AUUGAACGCUGGCGGCAUGCUUUACACAUGCAAGUCGAACGGCAGCGCGGGCUUCGGCCUGGCGGCGAGUGGCGAACGGGUGAGUAAUACAUCGGAACGUGCCCAGUAGUGGGGGAUAGCUCGGCGAAAGCCGGAUUAAUACCGCAUACGACCUGAGGGUGAAAGCGGGGGAUCUUCGGACCUCGCGCUAUUGGAGCGGCCGAUGGCAGAUUAGCUAGUUGGUGGGGUAAAGGCCUACCAAGGCGACGAUCUGUAGCUGGUCUGAGAGGACGACCAGCCACACUGGAACUGAGACACGGCCCAGACUCCUACGGGAGGCAGCAGUGGGGAAUUUUGGACAAUGGGCGGAAGCCUGAUCCAGCAAUGCCGCGUGGAGGAAGAAGGCCUUCGGGUUGGAAAGCACUUUUGGCGGGAACGAAAAGGACUGUGCCAAUACCCCGGUUCGAUGACGGUACCCGCAGAAUAAGCACCGGCUAACUACGUG
Molecule: ribosomal RNA, 484 nt
Filed under: uncultured bacterium
Lineage: Bacteria
Description: partial 16S ribosomal RNA
Rfam family: Bacterial small subunit ribosomal RNA
Source: RNAcentral